This 571-nucleotide long non-coding RNA is filed under the name Homo sapiens (human). RNAcentral's name for it is "non-protein coding lnc-RNF152-8:1". Lineage: Eukaryota; Metazoa; Chordata; Mammalia; Primates; Hominidae. The record is from RNAcentral.
AGCAGCGGCCGGGCAGGUAUUGGGGGCGUUCCGGAAUUGAGGGGUGGUUGUAGUGGUGGCUUAGGAAUACCCUCCCGGCUAUCGCUUCAGUGGGUAGAGGGGACCACUGCCCGAGAGCUUUAAUGGAGCUGGGUCCUGCCUUCGCGCUGAGGAGCCCUCGUUUUCGAGAUCAGGCCUGACCGGGAUAAGCUCCAGAAACAGUAUUAUGUCUCAGUCCUGUGCAAAGUGAGAUGAGCUGUAGCCUUUGGAGACCUAUAAUUUUGAACAUAGAUGUUCCUUAAAAGCUAAAUCUUUUUGAACAGAUGAUGAUAAACCUGGAAGGUUAUUUUGCCAUCCUUUCCUUCCAUGAUGUGAUUCUUCAGGCCAAGAAGAAAAAGAUGUGUCUGUAGCUAAAAUUACCUCAUCCUUGGUGUUUUUCAGCCUAGGAUCACUAUAUGUAGCUAAUGCCGUUACAUUACAACUAAGACAAGUUCCAAUACUUUUUUUUUUCUCCUCGAUCUGCAGAGAUUCACCAACAAUAGCAAAUUACACACUGGCUUGGAAAGUACUCCCAUGUUCCGUUUGAUCUUGG